This is a long non-coding RNA of Passer domesticus (house sparrow), 348 nucleotides long. RefSeq lists it as uncharacterized. The transcript has 3 exons. NCBI's taxonomy places the organism in Eukaryota, Metazoa, Chordata, Aves, Passeriformes, Passeridae. The record is from RefSeq and is a predicted model, not a curated record.
ACUCAUCUCCUGGAAACUGCUGGUUCAGAUGUUAGAUUAGCUCAUUUAAAUAUAAGUGAAAUUUUUAAUAAGUUGUUCCAGAGAAAGUUCAGUGGAAGAACAAGGGAGGAACUGUAGCUGCGAGAAUACUGCAGGUAGAUAAUAAUGAAGCUGAAGAUGAAGGCAGGGACUGAAAGCAAGAGCAGAGCCUGUGUACAGCCAACAGAGCAGCGUGCAAGGAAAUGCACGCACUUCAGAAAAAGGACAGGGAACAAGAUCCCCAAACUCGCUUCUUCUGCAUGUCAAGAAGGAUUUCCCUGAAAUCACAACUAAGUGGAACUGAAUGCUCUCCACAGCCAUCCAGGCACA